UACAGAGGUCUCAAGCGUUGUUCGGAUUCAUUGGGCGUAAAGGGUGCGUAGGUGGCGGUGUAAGUCUAACGUGAAAUCUCGGGGCUCAACCUCGAAAUUGCGUCGGAUACUGCAUCGCUAGAGGAUUGUAGAGGAGAGUGGAAUUCAUGGUGUAGCAGUGAAAUGCGUAGAUAUCAUGAGGAAGACCAGUUGCGAAGGCGACUCUCUGGGCAACUCCUGACCCUGAGGCACGAAGGCUAGGGGAGCAAACGGG
This 253-nucleotide ribosomal RNA is filed under the name uncultured bacterium. RNAcentral's name for it is "partial 16S ribosomal RNA". It matches the Rfam family "Bacterial small subunit ribosomal RNA", at positions 524 to 776 of the family's 1533-position model. The record is from RNAcentral.